RNAcentral lists this non-coding RNA (177 nucleotides) under Clostridium fallax. The record is from RNAcentral. Lineage: Bacteria; Bacillati; Bacillota; Clostridia; Eubacteriales; Clostridiaceae.
UUAAAUAUAAACUAUAUAGGUUGUAUUACAUACAUUAAAAGGGAAAUAGGUUAAAAUCCUAUGCGGUCCCGCCGCCGUUAAGACGAGCUAUUUUAAUUAUGCCACUGGUAAAACUCUGGGAAGGCUAAAAUAGUAAUGACUCUAAGCCGGAAGACCUGCCUUUAUAGAAAACACUAA